RNAcentral lists this long non-coding RNA (539 nucleotides) under Homo sapiens (human). Its description in RNAcentral is "non-protein coding lnc-PRAMEF11-3:2". The record is from RNAcentral. Lineage: Eukaryota; Metazoa; Chordata; Mammalia; Primates; Hominidae.
GAGUGCAGGGUGUGCGCACUCCUGGGUAGAGCUGGGAGCCGCCUGCUAGCUGGCGCCUCGUAUUUUCCUUGGCAACCCGCUACCCAGCCCCAACCUGGGCGGCUGCAGCUCUGAAGACACGAGAGAGGGUACUUGGUUUGGGUUUGAAAAGGGAAGAGCGGUCUUGUAUGCAGUAGUCUGGCCGGACCGACACUGAGAGGCCCAGGUGUUUGGAAAGCAGGAAAGAGGAGGCCAGGAUUGUUCUCUGGGGCCGGACUGAGAAAUGCCUGAAGGAGACGACGGAGGAGAUCCGGCAGAUGGGCACUGAGUGCCAUUACUUCAUCUGUGAUGUGGGCAACCGGGAGGAGGUGUACCAGACGGCCAAGGCCGUCCGGGAGAAGGUUUCCCAACCUCUUUCCCCCACUGAAGCCGGAGACGGUGGCCCGGAGGACAGUGGAAGCUGUGCAGCUCAACCAGGCCCUCCUCCUCCUCCCAUGGACAAUGCAUGCCCUCGUUAUCUUGAAAAGCAUACUUCCACAGGCUGCACUCGAGGAGAUCCA